Molecule: long non-coding RNA, 1185 nt
Organism: Xiphophorus hellerii (green swordtail)
Lineage: Eukaryota; Metazoa; Chordata; Actinopteri; Cyprinodontiformes; Poeciliidae
Exons: 4
Source: RefSeq, a predicted model, not a curated record
CUCUCUCUCUCUCUCUCUCUCUGACUGGACCUGAUGCUGCAGAAACUCUUUGCUGCUCAGCCGAUGGAGAAGCAAUGACAAGAAACCUCCUGAUUUCAAAGCAGAUUCAUUUGUUUUUAAAUGAACUUGUCCUACUAAUCUAACCUGUCCUUAAAAUAUAUCAUAAAUAUAUUGGGUGUACAGCAUGUUUGUAAUUUUAAUGUAUUUUUUCUACUCUAAUUUUAUAUUUAAUGUGUUUUUUCUGAGAGCAUUGAAACAAAGUCAAACUCCGUGUUAAGCUGAUGACUGAAGCUGAUCGUGUUGCUCUGUUCCAGCCUGCCCACCGCCGCCUCCUGCUGUUGAGACUCACUCAGUUCCGGAUGAACCCAGACUGCCCCCUGCUGAUGAGAACACAAGAAAUCACUUUGCUGCUGUCGCCUCCCUGAUCCUCUUCCUCUCUCAUCUCAUCCUCACCGCGGUGGCUCAGUGUGGAGCUCAUGGGUCGCAGCAGAACCGAAACCCGGAGCAGCAGAUCUGAAGACUCCAACACAUCUGCUGCAGGAUGUUUAUCUCUGCAUUUUAGGUUUUAGUCUUCUAUUAUCUUAAUAUUAGCAGUUUUAUUUAUGUAUAUACUGUAUAUACUGUAUAUAUAAACAAUAAACAGAUGCAUGCAGAACUAACACAAAGUUAGAUUCCUGAAGACUUUCUGCAAAAUAGGGCCAAAUGUUGAGACUUUUUCAUGAAGCUAAUCUGGUUCUUAGCCAGCUGUCCUGCUCCGGGUUAUGAAAUCUCUGUAAAGGGAAAUGUCUAAUUGUUAUUACAGUGAGUCAGUUUUGAGUUACAGUGAGUCAGUUUUGAGUUACAGUGAAUCAGUUUUGAGUUACAGUGAAUCAGUUUUGAGUUACAGUGAGUCAGUUUUGAAUUACAGUGAGUCAGUUUUGAGUUACAGUGAGUCAGUUUUGAGUUACAGUGAAUCAGUUUUGAGUUACAGUGAAUCAUCCAGAACUUCCUCUGAUGAAUCCAAACUUUUCCUCAGACUAAAAGACGUUUUAAUCUAGAAAAAUACCGUUAGACAAAUAUUUGAUAAACUUUGAUUCUCUGCUAAAAAACAACCUGACAUUCUUUAUGUUGUAUAAUCAUCGUUCAUAAAUUGGUGUUGAUGAGUUUUAUGGUUGUAUCUAAGAAAAUAAAAAUAAUUUAAAUUCC